GUGUCAGCCGCCGCGGUAAUACGGAGGGUGCAAGCGUUAUCCGGAUUCACUGGGUUUAAAGGGUGCGUAGGAGGGUAGGUAAGUCAGUGGUGAAAUCUCCGGGCUCAACUCGGAAACUGCCGUUGAUACUAUCUGUCUUGAAUACCGUGGAGGUGAGCGGAAUAUGUCAUGUAGCGGUGAAAUGCUUAGAUAUGACAUAGAACACCGAUUGCGAAGGCAGCUCACUACACGAAUAUUGACUCUGAGGCACGAAAGCGUGGGGAUCAAACAGGAUUAGAUACCCCCGUAGUCC
This 292-nucleotide ribosomal RNA is filed under the name uncultured bacterium. RNAcentral describes it as "partial 16S ribosomal RNA". It matches the Rfam family "Bacterial small subunit ribosomal RNA", at positions 505 to 796 of the family's 1533-position model. The record is from RNAcentral.